CACACUUCUGAAUAUUUAUAUCCAACGGUUUGAAUAUUCACUGGCCCGAGAUGUCUAUGAUUUUAUAACGGAAUCGUAACCUCCACGCACGAAUAUUUGCUCAGAGCCGUGAACAACUUGGAAAAACGGGAAAAGGAAAGUUGGAAAUAGAGGAUAUUGACCAGGAGAGUACCUGUUAGUGAUGCGGGGACCCAGAGAAACCUGGAUUUAAGAGAAGGCAACCACAUCACA
This 231-nucleotide long non-coding RNA is filed under the name Oncorhynchus kisutch (coho salmon). Its description in RNAcentral is "lncRNA (ENSOKIG00005029315.1)". Lineage: Eukaryota; Metazoa; Chordata; Actinopteri; Salmoniformes; Salmonidae. The record is from RNAcentral.